This 497-nucleotide ribosomal RNA is filed under the name uncultured bacterium. Its description in RNAcentral is "partial 16S ribosomal RNA". It matches the Rfam family "Bacterial small subunit ribosomal RNA", at positions 28 to 507 of the family's 1533-position model. The record is from RNAcentral.
GAUGAACGCUGGCGGCGUGCCUAAUACACGCGAGUCGAGCGAACGGACGAGAAGCUUGCUUCUCUGAUGUUAGCGGCGGACGGGUGAGUAACACGUGGAUAACCUACCUAUAAGACUGGGAUAACUUCGGGAAACCGGAGCUAAUACCGGAUGAUAUUUUGAACCGCAUGGUUCAAAAGUGAAAGACGGUCUUGCUGUCACUUAUAGAUGGAUCCGCGCUGCAUUAGCUAGUUGGUAAGGUAACGGCUUACCAAGGCAACGAUGCAUAGCCGACCUGAGAGGGUGAUCGGCCACACUGGAACUGAGACACGGUCCAGACUCCUACGGGAGGCAGCAGUAGGGAAUCUUCCGCAAUGGGCGAAAGCCUGACGGAGCAACGCCGCGUGAGUGAUGAAGGUCUUCGGAUCGUAAAACUCUGUUAUUAGGGAAGAACAUAUGUGUAAGUAACUGUGCACAUCUUGACGGUACCUAAUCAGAAAGCCACGGCUAACUACGUG